UGCAUCCGAGAGGAAAGUCCGAGCUCCACAGGACAUGAUGCCGGAUAACGUCCGGGAGCCGUGAGGCUACAGACAGUGCAACAGAAAGCAAACCGCCCCCGCUUGCGGGGGUAAGGGUGAAAUGGCGGGGUAAGAGCCCACCGGGAGACCAGUAAUGGGCUUCGCAUGGCAAACCUCAUCAGGAGCAAGGCCAAGAAGCGUGUGGAUUGUCCGUCCCAUACACGCGGGUAGGCUGCUAGAGACAGCCGGUAACGGUUGUACCAGAUAGAUGAUUGCAUAAACAGAACUCGGCUUAUGAGGGACC
This 304-nucleotide RNase P RNA is filed under the name bovine gut metagenome. Its description in RNAcentral is "Bacterial RNase P class A". It matches the Rfam family "Bacterial RNase P class A", at positions 34 to 352 of the family's 367-position model. Rfam says of the family: Ribonuclease P (RNase P) is a ubiquitous endoribonuclease, found in archaea, bacteria and eukarya as well as chloroplasts and mitochondria. Its best characterised activity is the generation of mature 5'-ends of tRNAs by cleaving the 5'-leader elements of precursor-tRNAs. The record is from RNAcentral.